GGUAGGAUGGCUGAUGAUAAGCGGUGGAUUGUAGCCCCAAGAAUGCAGGUUUAAGUCCUGUUCUUACCA
Molecule: transfer RNA, 69 nt
Filed under: Epicrionops cf. marmoratus UMMZ 190478
Lineage: Eukaryota; Metazoa; Chordata; Amphibia; Gymnophiona; Rhinatrematidae
Description: tRNA-Tyr
Rfam family: tRNA
About the family: Transfer RNA (tRNA) molecules are approximately 80 nucleotides in length. Their secondary structure includes four short double-helical elements and three loops (D, anti-codon, and T loops).
Source: RNAcentral